RNAcentral lists this ribosomal RNA (422 nucleotides) under uncultured bacterium. RNAcentral describes it as "bacterial SSU rRNA". It matches the Rfam family "Bacterial small subunit ribosomal RNA", at positions 794 to 1215 of the family's 1533-position model. The record is from RNAcentral.
UCCUAGCCGUAAACGAUGAUCACUUGGUGUUGGGUCCUUAGGGCUCAAUGCCGAAGUUAACACAUUAAGUGAUCCACCUGGGGACUACGGCCGCAAGGUUGAAACUCAAAGAAAUUGACGGGGACCCGCACAAGCGGUGGAGCAUGUGGUUUAAUACGACGCUACACGUGGAACCUUACCAGGGCUUGAAAAGUGCAUGAAAUCUCUAUGAAAGUAGGGACCUCCUUUCCGGGACAUGCAUACAGGUGUUGCAUGGCUGUCGUCAGCUCGUGUCGUGAGAUGUUGGGUUAAGUCCCGCAACGAGCGCAACCAUCAUCCUUAGUUGCCAUCGGUUCGGCCGGGCACUCUAAGGAGACUGCCGGCGAUAAGCUGGAGGAAGGCGGAGAUGACGUCAAGUCAGUACGGCCCUUACGUCCUGGGCU